AGUUUGCUGUGAUCUCGUGACCAAAGACAUAAACCUUGUCACAGCAAGGGGCCAGAAUUAUGGACCAGGAGCCAAUGGAAAGCUGUGGUGCCACCCACACCUGAAACACAGAGGAAGACUGUGAGAUGCUGUCGAAAUUACCAAAGAAACUUGAGUCUCUGUCCCUCACUCUUCAGGACAGAUCAUUUAAUCCAGGACGAGGAGUUGGAGGUGUGUGGAGGAGGAUUUCCAGAACAUCAAAUCUUCCCUUGGUUGUGGAAUUAAAGUGGUGAAUAAUGCAUGGCUGAAAGCAUCCGUCUCUCUUAGAUGCCUCUUCUGGACAACAGGGGAUCUGAAG
Molecule: long non-coding RNA, 337 nt
Organism: Epinephelus moara (kelp grouper)
Lineage: Eukaryota; Metazoa; Chordata; Actinopteri; Perciformes; Serranidae
Exons: 3
Source: RefSeq, a predicted model, not a curated record